GCUUGGAUGGCUCAGUUGGUUAGAGCGCAGGUCUCAUACGUUCUGUAUGACUGUGAUUUACGCAGUAAUCCUGAGGUCGUGAGUUCGAUCCUCACUCCGAGCA
Steccherinum ochraceum is the source of this 103-nucleotide non-coding RNA. NCBI's taxonomy places the organism in Eukaryota, Fungi, Basidiomycota, Agaricomycetes, Polyporales, Steccherinaceae. The record is from the annotation of a GenBank genome assembly.